AGUGAACGCUGGCGGUAGGCCUAACACAUGCAAGUCGAACGGCAGCACAGUAAGAGCUUGCUCUUACGGGUGGCGAGUGGCGGACGGGUGAGGAAUACAUCGGAAUCUACUUUUUCGUGGGGGAUAACGUAGGGAAACGUACGCUAAUACCGCAUACGACCUACGGGUGAAAGCAGGGGAUCUUCGGACCUUGCGCGAUUGAAUGAGCCGAUGUCGGAUUAGCUAGUUGGCGGGGUAAAGGCCCACCAAGGCGACGAUCCGUAGCUGGUCUGAGAGGAUGGUCAGCCACACUGGAAGUGAGACACGGCCCACACUCCUACGGUGGGAAGCAGUGGGGAAUAUUGGACAAGGGGGGCAAGCCUGAUCCAGCCAUACCGCGUAGGUGAAGAAGGCCUUCGGGUUGUAAAGCCCUUUUGUUGGGAAAGAAAAGCAGCAGUUUAAUACCCCGCUGUUCUGACGGUACCCAAAGAAUAAGCACCGGCUAACUUCGUG
RNAcentral lists this ribosomal RNA (492 nucleotides) under uncultured bacterium. RNAcentral's name for it is "partial 16S ribosomal RNA". It matches the Rfam family "Bacterial small subunit ribosomal RNA", at positions 29 to 507 of the family's 1533-position model. The record is from RNAcentral.